GGAUGAGAAGGAGACCAUCAGAAGCUCAAAGAGAAGAAACUGGCCCCAUCACCUACCCACAAGGCCUAGCGCUGGCCAAGGACGUUGACUCUGUGAAGUACUUGGAGUGUUCUGCUCUGACCCAGCGUGGCCUGAAGACAGUGUUUGACGAGGCUAUCAGGGCAGUACUCUGCCCACAGCCAACCAAGGUCGGGAAGAAGAAAUGUCUACUGCUCUAACAGAUGCAGCUCAGAGUGAAAACUAGAGAUGACAUUUACCUGAAGUCUGUCUACAUUAUUCUCUCCAUCUGUUGUUGUUUCUCUAGAUGCAGCUCAGAGUGAAAACGGACAGUGAACAAACCAGAGAGCCAGAUGUUAACUCAAAAGGCCUUUUAGCUUUUCUGUGCUAGAAGAAAAAACAUUGACUUAUGAAAGCCUACGUGGUUAAAUAAAUAUAAAAUAUUAUAAUUAAGUCAUGUUAAAUCUAUUACAAUGGUUUCUGAUGUGUGCUUGUUUGGUACUGGUAUAUAGUGUAUGAUAUCUGUGUUUCUGUCAAAUGAAUAAAUUGUAUAAUAUUUGCAGAAUA
Oncorhynchus keta (chum salmon) is the source of this 564-nucleotide long non-coding RNA. RefSeq lists it as uncharacterized. The transcript has 3 exons. Lineage: Eukaryota; Metazoa; Chordata; Actinopteri; Salmoniformes; Salmonidae. The record is from RefSeq and is a predicted model, not a curated record.